AAAUUAUGUUUGACAGAUUAUUUGUUUGUUUUAUAUUCCAGCGCAAGCACCAACCCAACAGGUGACCAUCAAUAAAGUCAAGUUCCUUGAAGAAAAAUGCAAAGAUGUGGAUAAUGAGAGGGAUUUUCUUUGGAGCAGUUUAACCAAUGCCCUGUCAACUAAAGAAACAAAAGAGUCAAAGAAGUCUAUUGUGAUCACAGAUUCUUCUGAUGAGAACCAUGUACGAGCAGAAAAGAAAAAGUACAGAAAGGGAAGCAAGAAGACCAAAAGAGACAACUCAACUUCUAGCUCCUUCCAGUCCUCAUCUUCCUCAGAUUCUUACUUUUCUUUAUCACCUCACAAGACUAAGAAGAACAAGAAGGGAAAGAAAGCACAGAAAAGUGCAAAAAGCAGAAGAGUAUUUUUACCAGAGCAAGUCAUAGGAAGAUGGUUGGUUGUCAAAAGGAGCAACCAAAACGGAGGCAUACCAAAAGUGCGGUGUGGAUAGGAAGACGAUUGUCGAUACGUCUGCCAUUGCUGAGUUGGAAGCCUGUGACAUCACAGCGUACAAUAAAUUACGUGCUGCCUUUCAAAAAGGGCAAAAGCUGUCCGACUUUGCAGACCGUUGCCGGCAGUUGUGCACACAGGAACCAGUGUGCACUGCCAUUGAGGAAUAAAAGAGAAAUGGAGAGCUUAUAGACAUUCCACAAAAGAAUAAAUAACAUGUUACCAAUGGCUGUGUGUACAUUUCUAAUGUACAUUCUCAGUUUAUCUUCACAAUCUAAUUGUGUUGAAGGUUUUUUUUUGUUGUUGUUGUUAAAUUUAUCCACCAUGUUUGGCUCAGUUUUUUAUCACAUUUUUUGAAUGCGUUAAUGUUGUUUCAUUCCAAAAUACAGAAUUUUGCUUAGUUUAUGGCUAGGUUUCAUCAUUGUGCCAAAUUUAAUUUAAAAAAAGUUAGACCCAAUCACUGCAGUUGUUUUAUGUUGCACAGUUCCUGUGGGGUGACACAUUAGUGAAGGGUUAACAUGUUUUUUCACUUUUCCAGGCUACUGUUACUUAAAGGUAGGUCUUUUGGAGUUGGAGACAUAUUUAACGGACACUGAUCAGAGCUCAUAAUAGUGAACUAAUCCAAUCAUGAGCAUGUCAGCAUCACUUCCUAAUUGUUUAAAAUUUUAAUCAAAUUAUCAUCAUUAGUAUUAUUCUAUGUUUAAGUUUUAAAUAAACAACAUGUACGAA
This is a long non-coding RNA of Ctenopharyngodon idella (grass carp), 1215 nucleotides long. RefSeq lists it as uncharacterized. The record is from RefSeq and is a predicted model, not a curated record. Lineage: Eukaryota; Metazoa; Chordata; Actinopteri; Cypriniformes; Xenocyprididae. The transcript is spliced from 3 exons.